Molecule: long non-coding RNA, 397 nt
Organism: Lepus europaeus (European hare)
Lineage: Eukaryota; Metazoa; Chordata; Mammalia; Lagomorpha; Leporidae
Exons: 3
Source: RefSeq, a predicted model, not a curated record
UUGCCUGUGGAAUAGCCUUACUUCCCGAAGUCUCACACGUUCCCUCAAAGGCUCACCAAGGAUUUGUUGCUGCUUUGCCAAAAGUUCCAGCCGGUUUCCUGUUACCUGGGCUUAUCUCAACUCACCAUUACAAGUAAGAUAGCUACAGAGGGAGCGUGCUAUAGCUCUAUAGGCAAGACUGCUCUUCAGUGCUGCCCUGGACGUGUUUGUGUCUGUGGAGCGGAUGUCUCCAUUUCUGCAGGCUGCAGAAUUCUUUCCACAGAGAGUCAGCCCACAGCACUCCUUCCCUGCCUGGCAAAUCUGACGGAGGCCUCCCACCUACCCCCAGACAAUCAGAGACCUUGAAGGGGUGGCUCAGAUCCUGGUUACUGAGGAUGGCUCUUCUACCACGCUGCGG